UGGGCGAAAGCCUGAUCCAGCCAUGCCUCGUGCAUGAUAAAGGCCUUCGGGUUGUAAACUGCUUUUGUGCGGAACGAAAAGACUCUGGUAAUACCUAGGGUCAUGACGGUACCUAAGAAUACGCACCGGCUAACUACAUG
RNAcentral lists this ribosomal RNA (140 nucleotides) under uncultured bacterium. RNAcentral describes it as "partial 16S ribosomal RNA". It matches the Rfam family "Bacterial small subunit ribosomal RNA", at positions 372 to 507 of the family's 1533-position model. The record is from RNAcentral.